UACGUAGGGUGCAAGCGUUGUCCGGAAUUAUUGGGCGUAAAGAGCUCGUAGGCGGUUUGUCGCGUCUGCUGUGAAAUCCCGAGGCUCAACCUCGGGCCUGCAGUGGGUACGGGCAGACUAGAGUGCGGUAGGGGAGAUUGGAAUUCCUGGUGUAGCGGUGGAAUGCGCAGAUAUCGGGAAGAACACCCGUGGCGAAGGCGGCACUCUGGGACGGUACUGACGCUGAGACGCGAAAGCGUGGGGAGCGAACAGG
RNAcentral lists this ribosomal RNA (253 nucleotides) under uncultured bacterium. RNAcentral describes it as "partial 16S ribosomal RNA". It matches the Rfam family "Bacterial small subunit ribosomal RNA", at positions 524 to 776 of the family's 1533-position model. The record is from RNAcentral.